ACGAAGGGUGCAAGCGUUAAUCGGAAUUACUGGGCGUAAAGGGCGCGUAGGCGGUCUUGCAAGUCCCGUGUGAAAUCCCUCGGCUCAACUGAGGAACUGCACGGGAAACUGCUUGGCUUGAGUUCGGGAGAGGGAAGCGGAAUUCCGGGUGUAGCGGUGAAAUGCGUAGAUAUCCGGAGGAACACCGGUGGCGAAGGCGGCUUCCUGGACCGACACUGACGCUGAGGCGCGAAAGCUAGGGGAGCAAACGGGA
This 253-nucleotide ribosomal RNA is filed under the name uncultured prokaryote. RNAcentral's name for it is "partial 16S ribosomal RNA". It matches the Rfam family "Bacterial small subunit ribosomal RNA", at positions 525 to 777 of the family's 1533-position model. The record is from RNAcentral.